This 506-nucleotide ribosomal RNA is filed under the name uncultured bacterium. RNAcentral describes it as "partial 16S ribosomal RNA". It matches the Rfam family "Bacterial small subunit ribosomal RNA", at positions 29 to 523 of the family's 1533-position model. The record is from RNAcentral.
AGUGAACGCUGGCGGUAGGCCUAACACAUGCAAGUCGAACGGCAGCACAGGAGAGCUUGCUCUCUGGGUGGCGAGUGGCGGACGGGUGAGGAAUACAUCGGAAUCUACUCUGUCGUGGGGGAUAUCGUAGGGAAACUUACGCUAAUACCGCAUACGACCUACGGGUGAAAGCAGGGGAUCUUCGGACCUUGCGCGAUUGAAUGAGCCGAUGUCGGAUUAGCUAGUUGGCGGGGUAAAGGCCCACCAAGGCGACGAUCCGUAGCUGGUCUGAGAGGAAGAUCAGCAACAGUGGAACGGAGACAAGGUCCAGACUCCUAAGGGAGGCAGCAGUGGGGAAUAUUGGACAAUGGGCGCAAGCCUGAUACAGCCAUACCGCGUGGGUGAAGAAGGCCUUCGGGUUGUAAAGCCCUUUUGUUGGGAAAGAAACCCAGCUGGCUAAUACCCGGUUGGGAUGACGGUACCCAAAGAAUAAGCACCGGCUAACUUCGUGCCAGCAGCCGCGGUAA